AGGUUUUGCUGCGUGCAGAAGAGAUUGCAGUGGCAGUGUGGGUAAACCACAUAAUGGAGCCCAUGGGAUCACUCUGCACCCAAGUGAGGUCCUUCCUGCCUCUCUCCAUUGUAAUCCCAUUCCCACUUACCCAGGUUGGAUCAAAAAUGGCAUCAGAGCCAAUCAGGUGCCCUGAAUUUUCUCUUCCCCCAGCAGCCAAAACAGAAGACUGCUUGUUUAUCGAGGCCCUGAGGACAUGAGUCCUAUGGGUUUAAACAUGGCUUGGUCUCCCACAGGCCCCUCUCCCUGUGCUCCACAAUCCCGCCCCUUAUCGUGACACAUUCUUUGUGCUACUUCCACUCAAGUCACUUCUUGAAAAGGCCACAGACUGACUUCCCACAGCCAGUCACAAGUCAAGUCAAACUCGCCAGUGUGCAUGCACAAGGGUCAAGCCCUUCCACGGGUCAUAGUGAUGUUCCUGUUGCCCAGGUGAUGGGUUCUUGAGAUGUCACAAAGGAGGAGCAUCAGAAACGGGGCUGAGGACCCUCCUCAUCAGGACAUCCACAGGAUAGUCUCCAGAGACCAGGAUUCUCCGAAGCUGGGCCAGUAGGAAGAAACCUUAGGCAGAGAGUUUGCUGGGGAAGCAGCACGAAAUCCCAGUCUCAAGCCUGAGAGUACAAAGUAUAGGUGGGAUCCGACAUGAGAUCAGAGGUGGAGUCCAGAGACCCCAUCAGGCACCCCGAAUUUCCUCUUCCAAUGGAAGCCUAAGCAGAAGACCACUUACAUGUGGAGGCAAUGAGGGUUUUGGGGUACAUGUGAAGAACAUGCAAGAUUGCUGCACAGGUCCAUACAUGGCAGUGUGAUUUUCUGCCUUCCUUCUUUAAGAAGCCUGACAGCCCAGAGCCAGGCGCGAGUCAAGACACCUCACCAGUGCACAUACACGCGUCACAAUUGGCUAUUCAGGUCAUAGUGACAUUCAUCAUCGCUCAGUGAUAGUUUGCUAAGGCAUUACAAAGGAGGAGCCCUCUGUGGCAGCCUGUAAAAAAUGGGGAUCAGGCCCCUCCUCACCAGGACAUCCACAGUAUAUUCUUCAGAGGCCAGGAUUUCCUGAAGGUGGGACAAAAAGAGGAGACAUCAUGCAGAGGGAAUUCUUGGGAAGCAACGCAGAAUCCCAGUCUCAGGCCAGUGAUGACAGGAUACAGGUGAGUCUCCCCAAAUAUCUUGCCCUGGUAAUCUCUCAAACACCUCUGCCUGUUUGCCUGUGGGCUGCUCUCUCAUCUGAGGCUCUCAGUGGUGGACAACACCUCCAGGUGCUGCCUAUAGAUGAGUGAUAUUCUGCCACUGCUCUGUGUGUGUGUGUGUGUGUGUGUGUGUGUGUGUGUGUGCAUAUAUGCCUCUGAUUUCUCUCUCUUCUUUCCUGCUCCCUCCCUUUCUUACUGCAUCUGUGUGUGAUGCAGGCAUAUGUGUGUGUGUGUGUGUGUGUGUGCCCCUGUGCCCUAUGCACCAGAGAGAGGUUUCUUGCAUGAAGGUCUCUCUUGCUGAGUACCUCCCAUUGUCUCUGCCUGAGUCACAUGGCUGGUCAUCAGUCGUUUCCCAGCUGCUCCAACUGGCAUUUGUGAAGGCCUGGACAAUGUGGGGAGGGAGCAGCAUUGGACCAGCAUGGAUUUCAGUCACCACCCAAUCCUGAGUAGCCUCUUUCUUAGGAGCAAGGCCACAACACCCCCAGCCGAGGACAAAAUCCUCAUCACAGCUCACUGUCCACCUGCAGGAGGGCUGCCCACCAACCUCAAAGAAUAUGGUUCUCAUUUCUCUCACCUUUUCCCUUAUAAAGAAAUCUAGCCACAACUUGACACAGGGCCAGACCCAGGUAUCAAGAAUGGGAUGUUGCAAGCAUCUCCGUCACUCCAACACUGGCCUUUCUGUCAAAGUCAAACAUUUGUCACUACCUACCCUGGAUGCCUGUGGAGGUGGCAUUGUGCUGUAUUUGGUCUGGACUCUGUCCUCCCUCUUUCUCUGUCAGCCCAGUUUCUGACAAGCCUAGAUUCUUCAUAGUCUGAAUCACUGUCUUCAACAGGGAAUACUCUUCAGAACAGAAGGGGGAAACUUCGUGGGGAUGUGUUUCAUGUCUGUUUCCCCCUCCAAAGCUGUUUCUGAAUGAUUGGACAACUAGGAUAAGCAGAGAGCCCUGGGCUUAAAUCAUGUGGGACAGAAAUGCUCUCUCAGCCUCCAUGUGCCACUAGAUGGCUGCUUGGCUGGCCACUGCCUUCACCACAAGGCAGUGUUGCAAUUCCCCUGCCCUUCCUCUCAUUCUUGAGGGUCAUUCAACUCUUCUGAUCCUGGGGAAAGUGAUUUCAAACACUGGAUCUUUUGGCUGCCACAGAUGCCAGGGAGCAGGUCAAAGGGAUUUGGUUUUGCUGGUUGCUGGGGAGGCUUCAUCCUAGGUACCUGGCAGGUGGCAGGGUGGGGACACCAUGCCUUGGAGCCCAUGGCAUCUCUUGGUACCCCAGCGAGGUCCUUCCUGCGUCUCUCCAUUGUAAUCCCAUUCCUGCUUAUCCAGGUGGGAUCCAAAAUGGCAUCCAAGGCAGAGUCCAACAGCCCAUUGGGAGCUCUCAAUCUCCUCUUCUGCCAGGAGCAGAGGUAAAAGACUGCUCACUCGUGGAGGCUCUGACACGAGUCCUAUCGGUUUGAACCUGGCAAGGUCUCCCACAUGCCCCUCUCUGAGGUGUCCUCAAUCUCACAGCUUUCGCCUCCACUUUCUCCACCACCACCUCCACCAUGGCCAUUCCUUAAAGGGGUCACAGCCUGACUUCCCGGAGCCAGGAGAGAGUUGAGUUGGCCUUGCCAGUGCACAUGCUAGAGGCACAAGCCACUCCUCAGGUCAUAGCGAGGUUCACCAUUGCCCCAGUGAUGGGUUUAUAAGAGGCCACAAAGUAGGAGACCCCUGUGAGAGUGUGUCGGGUACAGGGCUCAGGCCCCUCCUUGCCAGGAUGUCCACAGUAUACACUCCGGAGUCCAGGUUUGCUGAACGUGGGCCAAGAGGAAGAAAUCUCAGGCAGAGGUAGGGCCUGAAAAGCAGCACGGAAUCCCAGUCUCAGUCCUGCACCAAUGGGAUACGAGUGAAUCUCCCAAAGGUCAGGCCUUGAUCAUCUCCAGGACACCUCUGCCUGUGUUUC
Callithrix jacchus (white-tufted-ear marmoset) is the source of this 3152-nucleotide non-coding RNA. NCBI's taxonomy places the organism in Eukaryota, Metazoa, Chordata, Mammalia, Primates, Cebidae. The record is from RefSeq and is a predicted model, not a curated record.